Molecule: long non-coding RNA, 1785 nt
Organism: Hypanus sabinus (Atlantic stingray)
Lineage: Eukaryota; Metazoa; Chordata; Chondrichthyes; Myliobatiformes; Dasyatidae
Exons: 2
Source: RefSeq, a predicted model, not a curated record
ACCAACAUGUUUGUAACAAAAUCCUAAGAACAAAGUGAUAAUGAUUUGAUAAUCCUGAUAAUGAUUUUCCUGAGGGAUACAGCUUUGACUGGCAAGAACUUCAAAAUAUUGCCACAGGAACAUUUUAUACAAACAAGCAGACUGGGCCUUAUCUUGCCACUCACUUCAAAGACAGAAGUUUUAAGUAAGAGAACACACCAGCAGCCUGCAACAAGCAGAUCAAAGUCAUUGCUGCAGCAGAUGCCAAUUUGCUGCAGUGGAAUCCUGACUUGCUGAAACAACAGUUUUCCAGGGAAAAACAAUAAAUUCUGAUGCAGAGGAACCAGAUAUGUCUCCUGGUGCUCUGGAGACAGCAGUGUCUAAACUUUUCAUAUCGCUGUGAUCAUUCUAUCACCGGGGCAGAUGUACAUGCUGUGUAAUAAGCAGAAAUGCAACAUAUUACCAACCAGUAGAAGGACAGAAGGAGCUAAUGCAUUUAUACUCCAGUGUGAUGAAUCAGGAAGAAAGGGACUGGGAUUUGAGCCCACAAUAUGAGCCCAAUAGUACAUUUGAAGCAAUGUAUUCCAGAGUGAGUGAACCAGAACUCAACAAUGGUACUCCUCUCUGUUUCAUUUGGGACCUGGAUCAAGGACAGCAUCAACAGAUAUCUGAGGAUUGUCUGCUCUGUCUGGGAGUUCUGCACAGCACAAUCAGAUGGUCACCCAUUCAGUAAGAAGCACCGAGCACUGGAUCUCACACCUAAUGUUGUUUACAAGUCUUAAUGGCAACACAUCGUGGAAAAGUAUGCAAACUCCACAAUCAUCGUCAUGAAAUAGGAAGCAUGUUUCUACUUCUCUUGUUAUGGUGCCUUCACAAUGACUUUCUUUCAUUCAGGAGUUAGUCUCAAUCCUUUUUUGUCCUUGAACCUUUAUACAUUCCUAUUCCUUUUAAAUCCCAGGGUAUGAUAGCAGCUUUAGGCUGCCUUUGACUUUACAUUGCUGAGAAAAAUGGGUGCUGUUUGCAGCUCACUCCCACCGACUAGUGGUGCACAGUGGUUGUGCACCACUGCAUUGAGACCUAUUUAAAACAUUGCCCCAACUACUGGCCACCAAUCAGUAUCAAGCCUCACUCUCAGCGAGCCUCCUAUCCACGCCAGUUUAAAUUGAGAGAGAUCAAUUAUAUACAGGCUGUGGGAUCGCACAGAGCUUCAUAGUCGUCAUGAGCCAAAGCAGAAAGUUAUGAAUUGCUGCCGAGGGAUGAUGUGUCGAGGUUUAAAGAUCCGUCCAGAGGGAAACAAGUGACUGAAGCAAAAGCAUCAAGGGAUAAGAGACUUCAUCAUUUAUUUUGCGCUUGCUACCUGCAUGUUCUGUGCAACUUCAUUUGCCUAGAGACUACAGAGAAGGGAAUUUAACACUUGAUGACACUGUAUAUGUGCAGAUGUGCUCCCGAGUCAGCAGCAGUCGCAACUCUGCCAAGAUGAAAGACGGAUAUUAACUGGUAUGAAGAAAAUUAUCAGCUGGUUGGAGUGGAUCUCACCGCUCAUCCUGGUGCCUUGUCUUCGGCAGAAGUCUCCCUCCAGCCAGUGACGGGAACAACAACAGGAAAGAUAUGGGAUAAGGGAAGUCAGACACUGACCAGAACUUUUUAACUGAUGCUAAAUUAAGGAACUAUAUCAAAUAUAUUGUCCUAAUUGCAUACAUAGAGUAUUUAACAAAGCAUUGUAUUAUAUCAUGUAUUCCAUGUCCUCUGCAAUGAUGUAAUCCUUAAUAGGGCCUGAUUUAUAAUAAAUAAUAUGAUUCGUUUCUA